RNAcentral lists this long non-coding RNA (2264 nucleotides) under Homo sapiens (human). RNAcentral's name for it is "non-protein coding lnc-GPBP1-3:10". The record is from RNAcentral. Lineage: Eukaryota; Metazoa; Chordata; Mammalia; Primates; Hominidae.
AAACACGAGCACCAGACCUGACUGGGUGGUUGAGGGAGCUCCUGGUGAAAUGUGCUGAGGCUUCUGCUGAGGUUUCUACCUCAGCUCCACGGCCUGGCCAGGUAGGAAUGCAAUUCACCUUCCUGUCAUGUUUCUGUCCUGGCACUCCAGACAUUCGGGUCAGACAGACCUCACUAUCUCCAAGCUGCAGUGAAUCUGAGAGCCAUGAAAGUUCAAUGGAUUGAAGAAAAUGUUCACGGAAGGAAGAUGAUUAAUUGAUCCAGAGGGCCUGUAGCAACUCUGUUUAACAUGCUAGAUGAGCCAGUCUUAUUCAGUGAUGACUAAGGAUCUAGAGAAAACUGGUGUCAGGUUGGUCUUCUUCUUCCCACCUAUUUUCAGUUGGCCUGCAGUUCCUAGGAUGUGUAUCCUGUAUGCUGGUCACCGGAAGAUAGGCAAAUUUUUGCUUUGUUGCUGGUUCUGGGACAACAGCCAUGAUGACUUCUUGGCAGUCAUUUGCAGACUAAGGUAGCUUUGAAGGUGAAGAUUCUUUGUGUUCAUUCUCAUCCUGAUGUAAAAAUACUACCUGAGACUGGAUAAUUUAUAAACAAAAGAGGUUUAAUUGAUUCACAGUUCCUCAUGCCUGGGGAGGCCUCAGGAAACUUACAAUCACAGCGGAAGGCAAAAGGGAAGAAGGCACCUUCUUCACAAGGUGGCAGGAGAGACAGUGAGGAAGUGCCAUACUUUAAAACCAUCAGCUCUCAUGAGACUUCACUCAUGAUCACGAGAACAGCAUGGGGAACCUUCUCCCAUGAUUCAAUCACCUCCCACCAGCUCCCUCCUCGACAUGUGGGGAUUACAAUUUGAGAUGAGAUUUGGGUGGGUACACAGAGACAAACCAUAUCUAUCAAUUCUGAAUGUUUAAUACCAGUAUUAUUAGAGGAGGAUCUAGUCCCCUUCAGGACAUAAGGAUCUAUGAUCCUCUGUCAGAACAUAUUAGACCCUUUCCUUUGGCUAUAACCAAAAGAUUAUAAACAUACAUCCAGGAAUAAAAAUAGUAUAUUAAAAUUGUGUGUGUGUGUGUGUGUACGAAUGUAAAUUUUUUGUGCCAAAUCUAAAGACUCUUUACCUAGUCCUAAUGUGUCUUGAAGAUCUUCUGCAGUUUUUUUUCUAGAAAUUUUAUAGUUUUAUGUUUUACAUUUAAGUCUGUGAUUCAUUUUUAGUUAAUUUUUUUUGUAUAAGAUGUGAAGCUUAGGUUAAGGUUCAUGUUUUUGCCUAUGGUUGUUCAAUUGCUCUAAUAGCAUUUAUUGAAAAGGUUAAUGAUUUAUUUGUACUUCUGCCAAAAUUAAUUGAUCAUACUCAUGUGGUCAUACUUCCGCUUUCUCUGUUUUAUACCACUUAGCUUUGUCUAUCUUGCUAUCAAUACCACACUGUCUUGAUUACUGUAGCUAUAUAUUACUGUAGCUAUAUAGUAAACUUUAAUAAAAGGAAGAUGAACUUUCUUCUUCUUUUUUCAAAAUCGUUUUGGCUGUUUAAGGUCUUUUUCUUUUGGUAUACAUUUUAGAGUAAAAGUACAUACUUCUGUGAAAUACCUUACUAAGCUUCUGAUAGGAAAUACGAUAACACUGUAGAACAGUUUAGGGAGGACUGGUAUCUUUACUAAAUCUUCUAACCCAUAAACAUGAUAUUUAGGUCUUCUUGUCUUUCACCAACAUUUUGUAAUUUUCAACAUGUAGAUUCUAUACAAUUUUGUUGAGAUUAUGUCAUCUGUGAAUAAAGACUGUUUUAUUUCUUUUCCAAUUUGUAUGCCUUUUAUUUUUUUGUGUGCUUGUUAUAAUGACUAGAACUUCCAGUAAUACGUUGAAUAAUAGUGCUGAAAACAGAUUUCCUUGCCUUGUUCCUGAUCUUAGAGUGAAAGCAUUUAGCCUUUCACCAUUAUGUAUUACAUAGAUAUUGUUUCUUUUUUUUGUGUAUGUAAUUUCUUAUUAUGAGAUUAAGGAAGUUCCCUUCUAUUCCUAGUGUAUUGAAAGUUUUUAUAAUGAAUGGGUGUUGAAUUUUGUCAAAUGCUUUUUCUGUCAAUUGGUAUAAUCAUAUGACUUUUUUGUUUAGUUUGUUAAUAUUAUGGAUGAUAAUGAUAGAUUUUUGAAUAUCAAACUGUCCUUAUAUACCUAGAAUAAAUUCCACUUGGUCAUGGUAUACUAAUAUUUUUAUACACUGAUGGAUUCAAUUUGCUAACAUUUUAUUGAGGAUUUCUGCCCUGCUUUUAAGUCACUUUUGUUUACCUCUUU